RNAcentral lists this unclassified non-coding RNA (2220 nucleotides) under Hevea brasiliensis (rubber tree). Lineage: Eukaryota; Viridiplantae; Streptophyta; Magnoliopsida; Malpighiales; Euphorbiaceae. The record is from RNAcentral.
UUUUGCAAAAAAGUAAACUAAGGAUAAAAAAAAAAAAAAGGAACAAUGAGGUCUACAUCUCUUGAAUUUAGUGUGAGUUUUUAGCUUAAGGUUAAAGAAGUAAGAAAAGAAAGAGGUUUGUGUUUUGGAGAGUAUUAGGUAGCAGAAGAAAGGGAGGAAUUGUUGGAAAAGCCCAUGCUGAUAGCCUUGAUUUAGAAGUAAUGGCUGUAUGUGUUGUUUGGAAAUGGCUGUAUAUGUCAGUUUGAGGCUGUUUAACACUGCACAUUGGAUCAAGUGCAAUUUGAUUUGCUGAUAACAUAAGCAUAAAUAAAUGUAUAGUUUUUACUCUUGCAGAAGAAGUAAUGGAUGUUAAUAAAAGCAUUUCUGACCUCACUAAUAUAAUGGCCUUCAUUGAAUGAUUGAUUGGUGGGAAAUUGAUUUUUAAUUUCUUGAUAUGAUUAUUGGCACUUUAUUGAUUUUCUUUUUUAAGUUGUUUUUAGAACUGCAGGAAUAGCCUUAGUGUUGGUUAUUGAUUCAGUUUCCAAGUUGAAAAUUUUGGAGACUAAUAUGCAAUUUUUCUCUGAAGGUUGGGCAUUCUAUUGGUUCCUACAUAUCUAUUGAAACACUAAGGAGGUCUCCUGAGAAGGUCAAAUAUUACAUAGGACUUUAUCCAUUUUUAAUGUUGAACCCUCUAUCAGAGAAGCAGAUUAGUAUCAAGAAAAUUGCAGAGUCCCCCAUUCUUUCUGCUUUGCUUAGUUUCAGUAUAGCAUCAGUGGGAGUGCUACCUAGGUGUGCUUCAAGAACAAUUGUGUCAAACUCUAUUGGGAAGUCAUGGUCUGCUACUGCUGUUAAUGCUGCUUGCAGCCACUUGCUACAGUAUCAUACCUUCCGGAACAUGAUAUUUAUGGCAUUGACAGAAUUUAGAAAGGUAAUCUUGCUUGCUUAUGAGAUUUACAUUGCAAAGUAGUAAAUUGUAUGAUUAAUAGUAGUAUAUUUGAUAUUCACAGAUCCUAAAAUAGCUCUUGAUAUGGUGUUUGCAUGAAAUAUAAUCCACCAAAUAUGAUGAGAGUUCAUGUGAAUAAUAUAUUUUGUGUUUGGAAAAUAAAAAAAAUUCAUGUGAAAUUAAAAAUUCCAUGCACCACUAACCAUAAAUCUAAUUAGAGUUAAAUGCCUCUUAUCAUUUAAUUGAAUCAAUACCUUUGCCUAUCUUUUUGGCCCCUUGCUUUUUUCUCACUUUCUUUCUCUAUAUUAAUUCAUAUAGGCUUUCUGGGGAAUUAAAAUAUUACAACAACCAGCAACUUGGCUUCACUAGGUGUGUUCAUCUGUUUCAUGCGUUGACAAAGCAUGCUAUCAAUUCUGAUUGAACCCAGAAGAAAGAGAAUGAAACCAACAACCAAUUUUGAUGAAACCUAACAAAAAGCAAUACAAUCAACAAUAUCUUCUCGUUGCUAAGGAAAGAUGGGAACAAAUUGUACCUAAAGUUACACAUGGUUACUUGCUGUUCAGAACCCAUUAAUAAAAUUACUUGUCUCAUAUUGAUAUGAGUGAAUUGGAACUUUUAUUGGUGAAGAAUUGAUAUGAUUGUAUAUGAUUUGAAGAGGAAAUGGGGAUGGAGAUUCAGAUUAUUUUUAAUGGUGGUAGAGAUCAUUUAUUGCUAUUCAGAUUAGAGGAAAUGAGCAAGGCAAGGAACUGAGAUGAGAGGGAUAGGAUAGGACCAAGAGAUGUGUGAAGAAGAUAGAUUCUCGUUCUGUCAUGGGCUUCAUAACCUAGGGAAGAUAAAAGAAUUAUAUUGCCUAUAAUAUUUUAAGUAUCAAAAUAAUAUUACUUAGUAACAUAAAUGUUGGAUCAGUCAGUCUAUUCCAAUUUUAUUUCCAAUAAGGCAAUAACCAACCCAAUAAAUCAGGUUUUAUAAAUUUUAAACAAUAGCCAAUAAGAUUGAAUUGGCUGGUUAAAGCGGGCUGAUGAACAUUCCUACUUAUCCUCUACCUGCUUGAAGUGUAAUAUGUCUGAAUAUUUAAUUUUAAUAAAAAUUUAAUAAUUUGAAAGAUUCACAUGAAAGAAAAACUUGAAAGAAUUUCAAUUUCUCUACUUAUUUCAUUUAAUUUUGAAUGCCUACUUAUAGGUACGAUAAAGCAUAUGCCGCCUCUUCUACUCCAGCAAAAUAUUUAAGUGUACAGCAAUGUUCACAUGAGAGUUCUAAACUAUGUCUACAACUUAGUGUUAACUAUGGUUCUUUUAUGU